GAUGAAGAACGCAGCGAAAUGCGAUAAGUAGUGUGAAUUGCAGAAUUCAGUGAAUCAUCGAAUCUUUGAACGCACAUUGCGCCCCUUGGUAUUCCGAGGGGCAUGCCUGUUCGAGCGUCAUUAUAACCCCUCAAGCUCAGCUUGGUGUUGGGGCCUGCUGCACUGGCAGCCCUUAAACUCAGUGGCGGCGCCAUCUGGCUCUAAGCGUAGUAAUUCUUCUCGCUAUGGAGUCCUGGUGGAUGCUUGCCAUCAACCCCCAAUUUUUCUAUGGUUGACCUCGGAUCAGGUAGGGAUACCCGCUGAACUUAAGCAUAUCAAUAAGCGGAGGA
RNAcentral lists this unclassified non-coding RNA (329 nucleotides) under soil metagenome. RNAcentral's name for it is "partial contains 5.8S ribosomal RNA, internal transcribed spacer 2, and large subunit ribosomal RNA". The stretch from base 1 to 120 matches the Rfam family "5.8S ribosomal RNA", at positions 35 to 154 of the family's 154-position model. The record is from RNAcentral.